RNAcentral lists this ribosomal RNA (492 nucleotides) under uncultured bacterium. RNAcentral describes it as "partial 16S ribosomal RNA". It matches the Rfam family "Bacterial small subunit ribosomal RNA", at positions 29 to 507 of the family's 1533-position model. The record is from RNAcentral.
AGUGAACGCUGGCGGUAGGCCUAACACAUGCAAGUCGAACGGCAGCACAGUAAGAGCUUGCUCUUACGGGUGGCGAGUGGCGGACGGGUGAGGAAUACAUCGGAAUCUACUUUUUCGUGGGGGAUAACGUAGGGAAACUUACGCUAAUACCGCAUACGACCUACGGGUGAAAGCAGGGGAUCUUCGGACCUUGCGCGAGUGAAUGAGCCGAUGUCGGAUUAGCUAGUUGGCGGGGUAAAGGCCCACCAAGGCGACGAUCCGUAGCUGGUCUGAGAGGAUGAUCAGCCACACUGGAACUGAGACACGGUCCAGACUCCUACGGGAGGCAGCAGUGGGGAAUAUUGGACAAUGGGCGCAAGCCUGAUCCAGCCAUACCGCGUGGGUGAAGAAGGCCUUCGGGUUGUAAAGCCCUUUUGUUGGGAAAGAAAGGCAGCAGGUUAAUACCCCGCUGUUCUGACGGUACCCAAAGAAUAAGCACCGGCUAACUUCGUG